CAGUAGGGAGUGGGGGAUGGGAGAGGGCGCCCCGCCCACCUUGACCAUCUUUCGUCUAGACUGAGAAGUGUGGGGAGGCAAACACAGUGCUAUGAGGACAAGAGAAGGAGAUGGAGACGCUGCUGUUCACCCACAUCCUCAAGCCUGAAGCACGGGACUCAGCUGAGAAGGCUUCUUGCCCACCUGCCAUCUUCCUACUGGACAUCCAAAAUAGGUCUGCAGUACCAUCACCUUGAACCACGCCACCAUCACCUCUCAGCUGGCUGCAACAGUUCUGGGUUGCUUCCCUUGCUUGCCGGUGGGCCCUUCCAUCUACUUUCCCCCUGGCAGCUAGGACCUUAAGAUUUUGUUGUUCCUCUACCGCAUCCUUCAGAUCUCAGCACAAACAUCAUUUCUUCUAUAAACAUAUGCCUGAUGCCCUUUCAAGUGCUUGGAUUGAUGGUGUCAGUGCUCCACCCUUAAAGGGGUGGAGCCAGGAUGUGAUGUAAUGGCAGAAAGAAGAUGUGUCUUGCUCUUUGCUGGUUCCGGCUUGCUGUUUGCAACAGCCAUGAACUGCGGCCCAGCCAUGCCUGCCUGCCUUGGAGCCAACUGAGUGUGGACUGAAACCUCCAAAAACUCCAUCUUUUGUCUACCCCUCAGUCAUAUGCCACCUGCAGACCAUCAGCAGUCUGCCGCUCAAGUUCUCCAGCACUAACCCUGAGAGAAAGGAAUCUAGCAAGAAUCUGGAGAUCACAGACAAAGACAAACUGCAGUUUAAGAACCCUUGGCCAAAAGUGCAAAGUCACAAAGCCACAAUAAUGGAUUUUCAGGGCAAAAAGAAGUCGGGGCUCCAAGGCACAUGGAGAAAUGGACAGAACAAGACUCUACAGCAGCUCCUAAAUCAGCAACCCACAAUGUCUGCCUUCCUGAUUUCAAUAUUAGAUUUUUAAAACAAUAAAAUUAAAUGAAUGAACAAA
Long non-coding RNA from Cavia porcellus (domestic guinea pig), 956 nucleotides. RefSeq lists it as uncharacterized. The record is from RefSeq and is a predicted model, not a curated record. Lineage: Eukaryota; Metazoa; Chordata; Mammalia; Rodentia; Caviidae. The transcript is spliced from 6 exons.